UUGAGGUCAAGGCUCCCUGAUUCGUAGGUUUGCAGGAGGCUGCAGUCAGGCCCGCGCCAGAACCAUGUUUCGCAACCAGUAUGACAAUGAUGUUACUGUUUGGAGCCCUCAGGGCAGGAUUCAUCAAAUUGAAUAUGCAAUGGAAGCUGUUAAACAAGGUUCAGCCACAGUUGGUCUUAAGUCAAAAACCCAUGCAGUGUUGGUAGCUUUGAAAAGGGCACAGUCGGAGCUUGCAGCUCAUCAGAAAAAAAUUCUCCAUGUUGACAACCAUAUUGGUAUCUCAAUUGCGGAGCUUACUGUUGAUGCUAGACUGUUGUGUAAUUUUAUGCGCCAGGAGUGUUUGGAUUCCAGAUUUGUAUUUGACAGACCACUUCCUGUGUCUCAUCUUGUAUCUCUAAUCGGAAGCAAGACCCAGAUACCAACACAACGAUAUGGCCGGAGACCAUAUGGUGUUGGGCUACUUAUUGCUGGUUAUGAUGAUAUGGGCCCUCACAUUUUCCAAACCUGUCCAUCUGCUAACUACUUUGACUGCCGAGCUAUGUCCAUUGGAGCCCGUUCCCAGUCAGCUCGUACUUACUUGGAGAGACAUAUGUCUGAAUUUAUGGAGUGCAAUUUAAAUGAACUGGUUAAACAUGGUCUGCGUGCCUUAAGAGAGACACUUCCUGCAGAGCAGGACCUAACUACAAAGAAUGUUUCCAUUGGAAUUGUUGGUAAAGACUUGGAGUUUACAAUCUAUGAUGAUGAUGAUGUGUCUCCAUUCCUGGAAGGUCUAGAAGAAAGACCACAGAGAGAGGCACAGCCUGCUCAACCUGCUGAUGAACCUGCAGAAAAAGCUGAUGAACCAAUGGAACAUUAAGUGAUAAACCAUUUUAUAUGUGCAUUAUCAAAUAUGUAAAAAUGCAGGAACACAUACUGAUGACAGUAAUCUAUACUUUGAACCAAAAGUUGCAGAGUAGUGGAAUGGUAUAUGUUUUAGGAAUCAGUCCAGAAGUGAGUUGUUUCCAAGCAGCCUCACUGAUGCCAUAUAAUGGGGUACGUUUUUCUUUGAGAGGGUCUAUGUAAUCAUUCUCUAGAAAGUGUAGGUAUCUGUACUAAUGUUUUUAUAUGAAGAAAAUAGUGUCUUUGUGGUUUUAAAGACAACUGUGAAAUAAAAUUAUUUCACCUCCU
Molecule: RNA transcript, 1167 nt
Organism: Propithecus coquereli (Coquerel's sifaka)
Lineage: Eukaryota; Metazoa; Chordata; Mammalia; Primates; Indriidae
Gene name: proteasome subunit alpha type-1 pseudogene
Exons: 1
Source: RefSeq, a predicted model, not a curated record